UAACCUUGACCAGAGUUAACCACACCCUAAGAACCUUAACCUUUCCUUUAAGCCUUUGUUUUAAUUCUAAGUGGAAGGCCUAUUUUUUUGGGAUUAAGCUUUAAGAGAACGUGUUAGGUUUGUGCCGACAUGAAUAGUAUCUUGAGUAGUUCUGAUUUGCAUUUUUUGGAUCAGAUAGGACUAGAAUGGAUUCUACUUGGGUUUCGGGAUUUGUUGGAAUGGUG
This 224-nucleotide long non-coding RNA is filed under the name Capsella rubella. RNAcentral's name for it is "long non-coding RNA (CRUB_LNC004222)". Lineage: Eukaryota; Viridiplantae; Streptophyta; Magnoliopsida; Brassicales; Brassicaceae. The record is from RNAcentral.